AUACGGAAGGUCCGGGCGUUAUCCGGAUUUAUUGGGUUUAAAGGGAGCGCAGGCGGAGAUGCAAGCGUGACGUCAAAUUUCGGGGCUCAACCCCGUCUCGCGUCGCGAACUGCGUCCCUUGGUUGCGGGAAGGGGAGGCGGAACUCGUGGUGUAGCGGUGAAAUGCAUAGAUAUCACGAAGAACUCCGAUCGCGAAGGCAGCCUUCCGGCCCGUCAACGACGCUCAUGCUCGAAGGUGCGGGUAUCAAACAGGAUUAGAUACCCUGGUAGUCCGCACAGUAAACGAUGGACACCCGCGGUUUGGCCUGUAUGGCUGAGCCGCCAAGCGAAAGCGUUAAGUGUCCCGCCUGGGGAGUACGCCGGCAACGGUGAAACUCAAAGGAAUUGACGGGG
Molecule: ribosomal RNA, 393 nt
Filed under: uncultured bacterium
Lineage: Bacteria
Description: partial 16S ribosomal RNA
Rfam family: Bacterial small subunit ribosomal RNA
Source: RNAcentral